GGGCCCGCACAAGCGGCGGAGCAUGUUGCUUAAUUCGAGGCAACGCGAAGAACCUUACCAGGGUUUGACAUCCUGCGAAUCUCUUGGAAACGAGAGAGUGCCUUCGGGAACGCAGUGACAGGUGGUGCAUGGCUGUCGUCAGCUCGUGUCGUGAGAUGUUGGGUUAAGUCCCGCAACGAGCGCAACCCACGUCGUUAGUUGCCAGCAUUUAGUUGGGCACUCUAGCGAGACCGCCGGUGAUAAACCGGAGGAAGGUGUGGAUGACGUCAAGUCAUCAUGCCCCUUACAUCCUGGGCUACACACGUACUACAAUGCUACGGACAAAGGGCUGCAAGUUCGCGAGGACAAGCAAAUCCCAUAAACCGUGGCUCAGUUCAGAUCGUAGGCUGCAACUCGCCUACGUG
Molecule: ribosomal RNA, 404 nt
Filed under: uncultured bacterium
Lineage: Bacteria
Description: bacterial SSU rRNA
Rfam family: Bacterial small subunit ribosomal RNA
Source: RNAcentral